This 253-nucleotide ribosomal RNA is filed under the name uncultured bacterium. Its description in RNAcentral is "partial 16S ribosomal RNA". It matches the Rfam family "Bacterial small subunit ribosomal RNA", at positions 524 to 776 of the family's 1533-position model. The record is from RNAcentral.
UACGAAAGGUGCAAGCGUUACUCGGAAUCACUGGGCGUAAAGCGCACGUAGGCGGACUUACAGGUCAAUUGUGAAAUACCUGGGCUCAACCCGGGAACUGCAGUUGAAACCGUUUGUCUUGAAUACCUGAGAGGGUGGGGGAAUACCUGGUGGAGAAGUGAAAUUCGCAGAGAUCAGGUGGAACACCGGAGGCGAAGGCGCCUGCCUGGCAGUGUAUUGACGCUGAGGUGCGAAAGUGCGGGGAGCAAACAGG